This 443-nucleotide ribosomal RNA is filed under the name uncultured bacterium. RNAcentral's name for it is "partial 16S ribosomal RNA". It matches the Rfam family "Bacterial small subunit ribosomal RNA", at positions 338 to 795 of the family's 1533-position model. The record is from RNAcentral.
CCUACGGGAGGCAGCAGUGGGGUAUAUUGGACAAUGGGGGGAAGCCUGAUCCAGCGACGCCGCGUGAGUGAAGAAGGCUUUCGGGAUGUAAAGCUCUGUCAGCAGGGAGGAAAGAGAUGACGGUACCUGACCAAGAAGCCCCGGCUAACUCCGUGCCAGCAGCCGCGGAAAUACGUAGGGGGCAAGCGUUAUCCGGAAUUACUGGGUGUAAAGGGGGCGUAGACGGUUCGGUAAGUCUGGAGUGAAAGGCCGGGGCGCAACCCGGGGACUGCUCUGGAAACUAUUGAACUUGAGUGCAGGAGAGGUAAGCGGAAUUCCUAGUGUAGCGGUGAAAUGCGUAGAUAUCAGGAGGAAAACCAGUGGCGAAGGCGGCUUACUGGACUGUAACUGACGCUGAGGCUCGAAAGCGUGGGGAGCAAACAGGAUUAGAUACCCCAGUAGUC